AGCCCUUUUAUUUCACUUUAACAUUUGUCCAAGCAAUAAGCAGACCUUCUGAAAAAACUUUUCCACAUUUAGGUUUCCAACAAUACCAGAUUUCAUUGCAUGACUAUGAAGACUGCGUGGUCCCUCAAAGCUCCACUGAAGAGACAGUUCCUGAUCUAUGGAAGCUUGUAAACAGAGCUCCACAGACAAGAAAGGCCGCCGGCCUGGGAGUGAAGAUUCCAGCACAACCACACUGGAUGGGCAUACAUUUAAGCCAGGAUAGACUGAGCCAAAGGAAAAAAAGAAGCAGAUCGCAGACCAUGCAAUGGCCACAUCCUGUCUGUCCCAUCCUACAUCCCAAGCAAGAUACCAGGACAGUACCAUUCCUGAGUUCCAGAGACCCGAGAAAAGAAAUAUUUUCUGGGAUACAAAAUUCAUUGUAUGGAAGAAAUGAACAUCAGUGCAGAAAUUGA
RNAcentral lists this long non-coding RNA (452 nucleotides) under Fukomys damarensis (Damara mole-rat). Its description in RNAcentral is "lncRNA (ENSFDAG00000023876.1)". Lineage: Eukaryota; Metazoa; Chordata; Mammalia; Rodentia; Bathyergidae. The record is from RNAcentral.